AUGUCUUUCGGCCUUGUCAAUGCUCCUCCAACAUUCUCUCGGAUGAUGAAUUUCAUCUUCAACCCCUAUACCAAUGAAUUCGUCCUGGUGUAUCUCGAUGAUAUCUUGGUCUUCUCCAAGAAUAAGAAGGACCAUGCCAAACAUUUGCGAUUGGUGCUCGACAAGCUCAGAGAGUAUCAAUUUUAUGCGAAGUUCUCAAAAUGUGAGUUUUGGCUUGAUGAAGUUCUUUACCUUGGUCACAUCAUCUCUGCCAAGGGCAUCGCUGUUAAUCCCGAGAAGGUGUUGGCGGCAGUUGUCCAUGCAUUAAUAACGUGGAGACAUCUCUUGUUGGGAAGAAAAGUGGACAUAUUCACCGAUCACAAGAGUCUCAAGUACAUUUUCACUCAGCCCAACUUCAACCUCAGGCAGACUCGAUGGGUCGAAAUGAUUCAAGAGUACAAUCCGAGUAUUGAAUAUACUCCAGGCAAAGCCAAUGUCAUUGCAGAUGCUUUAAGCAGGAAGGCUUAUUGCAACAGCUUAAUUCUCAAGCCAUUCCAACCGGAUCUUUGUGAAGCUUUCCGGUAG
Molecule: ribosomal RNA, 564 nt
Filed under: Triticum aestivum (bread wheat)
Lineage: Eukaryota; Viridiplantae; Streptophyta; Magnoliopsida; Poales; Poaceae
Description: partial small subunit ribosomal RNA
Source: RNAcentral